AUGAACGCUGGCGGCGUGCCUAAUCCAUGCAAGUCGAGCGAACAGACGAGGAGCUUGCUCCUCUGACGUUAGCGGCGGACGGGUGAGUAACGCGUGGAUAACCUACCUAUAAGACUGGGAUAACUUCGGGAAACCGGAGCUAAUACCGGAUAAUAUAUUGAACCGCAUGGUUCAAUAGUGAAAGACGGUUUUGCUGUCACUUAUAGAUGGAUCCGCGCCGCAUUAGCUAGUUGGUAAGGUAACGGCUUACCAAGGCAACGAUGCGUAGCCGACCUGAGAGGGUGAUCGGCCACACUGGAACUGAGACACGGUCCAAACUCCUACGGGAGGCAGCAGUAGGGAAUCUUCCGCAAUGGGCGAAAGCCUGACGGAGCAACGCCGCGUGAGUGAUGAAGGUCUUCGGAUCGUAAAACUCUGUUAUUAGGGAAGAACAAAUGUGUAAGUAACUAUGCACGUCUUGACGGUACCUAAUCAGAAAGCCACGGCUAACUACGUG
Molecule: ribosomal RNA, 496 nt
Filed under: uncultured bacterium
Lineage: Bacteria
Description: partial 16S ribosomal RNA
Rfam family: Bacterial small subunit ribosomal RNA
Source: RNAcentral